This 270-nucleotide long non-coding RNA is filed under the name Rosa chinensis. RNAcentral describes it as "sRNA RchiOBHm_Chr2g0171841". Lineage: Eukaryota; Viridiplantae; Streptophyta; Magnoliopsida; Rosales; Rosaceae. The record is from RNAcentral.
UUCUUCUAUUCAGUACAAGCUGACAAAACGCCAAGCACAGGAGGAGAUCCAAAGGUGCACUGGUGCUGUGGUGAUAACAAGGGGCAAGUAACAUCCACCAAAUGCGUCAACUGAUGUAAUUACAAUUAAACAUGGCCGACAAAGGAAAAUAUUUACAGGAUUUCCUCUACUAGGUGAGUUUACAUGCCAGAAUGCUAUUAUGGCUGAGCGCUUUAUUGAAGCAGGUUAUAGCUGCUAUCACUUACCAAAUAGUUCCCACUGACACACAGU